UCUUUCAGGUGGUGAAACACACUUGAAAAGUCAAUAGAGUACAAGCAUUUCAAGAUGGUGAUGAGCUCAAGGUGAAUGAUAGCAAAGGAACUCUGGAACUCUAUGGGAAAUGGCAAACUGAAUUGUUAUGUCUACCUCAUGAUGCUCAAGUUUGACCUUUCAACUGAAAAAAUGUGACCUUAUGGAGUUAUGAUUCAUAUCAACUAAGCUUCAUUCAAGAAAGCUUUAGCAUGAGGAGGAGGCUUCCCAAAGAGACAUCUUCAACACCUUGGAGCUUCAUUCAAGAAAGCUUUAGCAUCAUACGGAGAAGGAGACUCAUUUUCUAAGACACAUUAGAGGUGAUAUCGCCAUUGACGUGGUAUUGCCGACUGGACACUGUAGAAGGGAAGGGUAACCAAAAUGGAGUUCGAUUGACGUUCAUAGUGAAGAACAAGAUAUGGGCUGAGAGGUAUUAUGGGACGUAUAAUGAAAUUCUCAACUUUUUCUCCCUGAAAGAGUAGACAACAAAGUGUAGUUUAGCUCUUGACGAUAA
This is a long non-coding RNA of Nymphaea colorata (pocket water lily), 532 nucleotides long. RefSeq lists it as uncharacterized. The transcript has 3 exons. The record is from RefSeq and is a predicted model, not a curated record. Lineage: Eukaryota; Viridiplantae; Streptophyta; Magnoliopsida; Nymphaeales; Nymphaeaceae.